GACGAACGCUGGCGGCGUGCUUAACACAUGCAAGUCGAACGGAAAGGGCCUGCUUUUGCGGGGUGCUCGAGGGGCGGAAGGGUGAGGAACACGGGAGUAACCUGGCCGUUACUUUGGGAUAACUUCAGGAAACUGGGGCUAAGACCGGAUAGGAGCUGCUGCUGCAUGGGGGGGGUCGGAAAGUUUCGGCGGCUGGGGCUGGACUCGCGGCUUAUUAGCUUGUUGGUGGGGGAGUGGCUUACCAAGGCUUUGACGGGUAGGCGGCCUGAGAGGGUGACCGGCGACCUUGGGCCUGCGAUACGGCCCAGACUCCUACGGGAGGCAGCAGUGGGGAGUCUUGCACAAUGGGCGGACGCCUGAUGCGGCGACGCCGCGUGCGGGAUGACGGCCUUCGGGUUGUAAACCGCUUUCGCCUGUGACCAAGCGUGAGUGACGGUAAUGGGUAAAGAAGCACCGGCUAACUACGUG
This 468-nucleotide ribosomal RNA is filed under the name uncultured bacterium. RNAcentral describes it as "partial 16S ribosomal RNA". It matches the Rfam family "Bacterial small subunit ribosomal RNA", at positions 28 to 507 of the family's 1533-position model. The record is from RNAcentral.